AUUUAAAUAGCUUAUAAUUAGAGCAUAACAUUGAAGCUGUUAGUGAGAUAAAGAAUCUUUAAAUA
This 65-nucleotide transfer RNA is filed under the name Nigronia serricornis. RNAcentral describes it as "tRNA-Phe". Lineage: Eukaryota; Metazoa; Arthropoda; Insecta; Megaloptera; Corydalidae. The record is from RNAcentral.